This is a small nuclear RNA of Chlorocebus sabaeus (green monkey), 106 nucleotides long. Lineage: Eukaryota; Metazoa; Chordata; Mammalia; Primates; Cercopithecidae. The record is from Ensembl.
GUGUUCGCUUUGGUGGCACACAUACAAAAUUGGAAUGAUACAGAGAACAUUAUCACAGUCCCUGCAUGAGGAUGACAUGAAAGUUUAUGAAGUGUUAAAGAAAAAA